RNAcentral lists this long non-coding RNA (259 nucleotides) under Populus trichocarpa (black cottonwood). RNAcentral's name for it is "long non-coding RNA (PTRI_LNC003614)". Lineage: Eukaryota; Viridiplantae; Streptophyta; Magnoliopsida; Malpighiales; Salicaceae. The record is from RNAcentral.
UAUACGAGAAACCCCGCUGUCGGAGGGGAAAGGACUUUAAAUAUAUAUAUCCUUCUAAAAUGUGGCAUCUCGAGUAUUUGAAUCUAUCAAGAGGCUCGCAAUUUGGUGAUCCAACUGGGAUAACAAUUUUUUGGAGUUUUAAUUGAGAAUUGUUCUCAAAUAUUUCAGACAGUGUUUGAGAAUAUGAUGGAAUGCGAGAGGAAGGAAAAAGAGGGAGAAGAAAGUGCAGCUGCUAGUGGGUUCUAGAAGAACUAGCUCA